GACGAACCGAGCGAACGUUGUUCGGAAUCACUGGGCUUAAAGGGCGCGUAGGCGGGCUGUCAAGUCUGGGGUGAAAUCCCGCGGCUCAACCCGCGGGAACUGCCUCAGAUACUGACGGUCUCGAGGGGUAGGGCGGAGCGGAACUGAUGGUGGAGCGGUGAAAUGCGUUGAUAUCAUCAGGAACUCCGGUGGCGAAGGCGGCUCGCUGGACCUUCUGACCGCUGAGGCGCGAAGCCAGGAAGCAAAGCGGG
Molecule: ribosomal RNA, 251 nt
Filed under: uncultured bacterium
Lineage: Bacteria
Description: partial 16S ribosomal RNA
Rfam family: Bacterial small subunit ribosomal RNA
Source: RNAcentral